This 460-nucleotide ribosomal RNA is filed under the name uncultured bacterium. RNAcentral's name for it is "partial 16S ribosomal RNA". It matches the Rfam family "Bacterial small subunit ribosomal RNA", at positions 338 to 795 of the family's 1533-position model. The record is from RNAcentral.
CCUACGGGAGGCAGCAGUGAGGAAUAUUGGUCAAUGGACGAGAGUCUGAACCAGCCAAGUAGCGUGAAGGAUGACUGCCCUAUGGGUUGUAAACUUCUUUUAUAUGGGAAUAAAACGUUCCACGUGUGGGAUUUUGUAUGUACCAUAUGAAUAAGGAUCGGCUAACUCCGUGCCAGCAGCCGCGGUAAUACGGAGGAUCCGAUCGUUAUCCGGAUUUAUUGGGUUUAAAGGGAGCGUAGGUGGAUUGUUAAGUCAGUUGUGAAAGUUUGCGGCUCAACCGUAAAAUUGCAGUUGAAACUGGCAGUCUUGAGUACAGUAGAGGUGGGCGGAAUUCGUGGUGUAGCGGUGAAAUGCUUAGAUAUCACGAAGAACUCCGAUUGCGAAGGCAGUUCACUGGACUGCAACUGACACUGAGGCUCGAAAGUGUGGGUAUCAAACAGGAUUAGAUACCCCGGUAGUC